Molecule: ribosomal RNA, 773 nt
Filed under: uncultured bacterium
Lineage: Bacteria
Description: bacterial SSU rRNA
Rfam family: Bacterial small subunit ribosomal RNA
Source: RNAcentral
AGAGUUUGAUCCUGGCUCAGGACGAACGCUGGCGGCGUGCUUAACACAUGCAAGUCGAACGGAAAGGCCCUUCGGGGUACUCGAGUGGCGAACGGGUGAGUAACACGUGGGUGAUCUGCCCUGCACUUUGGGAUAAGCCUGGGAAACUGGGUCUAAUACCGAAUAGGACCACGCGCUUCAUGGUGUGUGGUGGAAAGCUUUUGCGGUGUGGGAUGGGCCCGCGGCCUAUCAGCUUGUUGGUGGGGUAAUGGCCUACCAAGGCGACGACGGGUAGCCGGCCUGAGAGGGUGACCGGCCACACUGGGACUGAGAUACGGCCCAGACUCCUACGGGAGGCAGCAGUGGGGAAUAUUGCACAAUGGGCGCAAGCCUGAUACAGCGACGCCGCGUGAGGGAUGACGGCCUUCGGGUUGUAAACCUCUUUCAAUAGGGACGAAGCGUGAGUGACGGUACCUAUAGAAGAAGCACCGGCCAACUACGUGCCAGCAGCCGCGGUAAUACGUAGGGUGCGAGCGUUGUCCGGAAUUACUGGGCGUAAAGAGCUCGUAGGUGGUUUGUCGCGUUGUUCGUGAAAACUCACAGCUUAACUGUGGGCGUGCGGGCGAUACGGGCAGACUAGAGUACUGCAGGGGGGACUGGAAUUCCUGGUGUAGCGGUGGAAUGCGCAGAUAUCAGGAGGAACACCGGUGGCGAAGGCGGGUCUCUGGGCAGUAACUGACGCUGAGGAGCGAAAGCGUGGGGAGCGAACAGGAUUAGAUACCCUGGUAGUCCAA